CACUUAUCACAAUUUUUAACAUAUUCUGAGGCGUCUUUUUUCAUAGUUGGCCAGUAGUAUCCAUAUCGUACGAGUUUAAAGGCCAAGGCCUUGGCUCCUUGAUGAUUCCCGCACACACCUUCAUGAACUUCAGCAAGGGCCUGGGAUGAUUCUGAUGGCCUGAGACACCUUAGGUACGGAAGAGUAAUACUUCUGCGAAAAAGGACACCGCUGAUCAUGCAGUACCUAGGAGCUCGGGCUCUGAUGCUUCUGGCCAACCUGGCAUCGCUUGGUAGAUUUCCGUUUGUGAUGAAUUCUAUGAUCGGGUCCAUCCAGGAUGGUUCAUUGUCAAUGUCCAUGAUGUCGAGGAUUUGACUGAUGCUGGGUUCUGUGAUGAUUUUAAUGUGAACCGUUCUGUCAAGGCCGUCUACCC
Molecule: long non-coding RNA, 412 nt
Filed under: Olea europaea (common olive)
Lineage: Eukaryota; Viridiplantae; Streptophyta; Magnoliopsida; Lamiales; Oleaceae
Description: long non-coding RNA (OEUR_LNC000568)
Source: RNAcentral